CCCUCUCCUUUCCCUCUCCUCCCCCCCCCCCCAGCCUAGUUUUUUUUCCCUCUCCCACCCCCAGGGUUUACCUUCUCUCUUUCUCUCCCGCACUUUCCCCUCCAAUUCCUGCAGCGAUUCCAACCGUAAGGCCCGGACUUUCUCACCAGUCACAGCUCUGACCACUGACAACCAAUCACAGUCAGGGUUGCUCGGGCUACAACCAAUCGGGAUCGGGAGGCGCACGCAGCCAAUCACAAUCAGACAAAUUGGGGCACAGCGGCCAAUCAGGAACGGGGAGGUUCGUGCGUUGAGCCAAUAAAAGAAAUCCUUCCUUCAUCAACCCCCAACUAACUGGAAAGGAUCAAGGUGAGAAUGUGAAGAGAAAGCAAGCGCCCAUGUUAAAGAGGGAAAUGCUGGGAGCCCUCCUCAGGACAGAGAGGAUGCUGCUGAAAUGAAAGUGCAAGACCUCGCAUUUGCUCAGCAUUGCUUUGCAUGACGUCAACUGAAGAUAUUACCUAGUAAGAUAACAAAAUGUCUGGAAAUGAACCUUUCAGCUCAGUGAGCAAACCUACAGCUGAAAGAUCUAAUGUGUGGAAAACAUCAGAAGACUACUUGAAGGAGACUAUGGCAGCCUUUGCUGACUACUUCCGCAGAAGCCACUGACACUGGCCAGACUUGAUUGGUAUUGCGUGUAUGGAAUGUGCUGCCAGAGGAAGUGGUGGAGGCUGAUAUCCACCAACCUAGCCAAAGGCAAAACAGGACUGCAACAAACUUCAAAAGGUGCAGCUGAAUAAAAAAGCAGGAAGGCUCUGAGGACAUGCUAAAAUAUCAGAACAUUUUAAGAGUAAAAAGAUCCUGGAAGAUGAGACUGCUAUGAAGGCAAGGAGACUUUGAUUACAGUGCUACAGAACGAGAAGUCUCUAAAGGGAAGGAGAAAGAACCUCUAUUGACUUCAAAGCUCAGCCACAAACAACAAGAAACACAGAAUUGGGAAUACUUUGACAACAAGAAGGAUAAACCUGGCCAGGUCAGUCAGGAGCAAUUGUCUGCAGGAAUGGCAAUUCUGGUUGGGUCAUUCCCAUUACCUCAACCAUUUAAUAACAUGAAAACCUCACAAUAAGUCCAGAAGUACAAACUUUGGAAGCAGUUGCAAAACUAUAUCACUUGCACUCUCUCACUCACUUUCAUUCCCUCACUCUGUCUCUUUCUCUUUCUCUCUCCCUCCUUCCCUGCCUGUUCACAAAAUAUUUGUAAAUUUCCAAUGGUACUAUUUUGCCAUUUUGAAUUUGUUCAUGGUAGCCAUUGUCUCAUCACAGCAAAACCUCCCCAAUGUGUUUCCUCCAAUUCCCCAACAAUAAAGACUAAUUCACCAUUGACUCUCCUCAUUCAUUAUUGGUUGUGUGGGAGAGAAAGAGAGAGAGAGUGUAUGUGCGCAUCACUGAGGGCAUAGUAGGCUAUGGACCAACUGCAGGUA
This is a long non-coding RNA of Hemiscyllium ocellatum (epaulette shark), 1456 nucleotides long. RefSeq lists it as uncharacterized. The record is from RefSeq and is a predicted model, not a curated record. NCBI's taxonomy places the organism in Eukaryota, Metazoa, Chordata, Chondrichthyes, Orectolobiformes, Hemiscylliidae. The transcript is spliced from 5 exons.